Molecule: transfer-messenger RNA, 374 nt
Filed under: Candidatus Ancillula hodotermitis
Lineage: Bacteria; Bacillati; Actinomycetota; Actinomycetes; Bifidobacteriales; Bifidobacteriaceae
Rfam family: transfer-messenger RNA
About the family: Bacterial tmRNA, also known as 10Sa RNA or SsrA, is named for its dual tRNA and mRNA-like properties.
Source: RNAcentral
GGGGAUGAUUUGGAUUCGACUGAAAGGUAAGAGUAAUAUAAUCAAGUAUCUCAGUCAUGAGAAUGAAUGGCAAAAAAUUAAUCGACAACGAUUUUGAAGCUGACUAUGAUUCAUACGAUGAGUAUGAUGAACCUGUCUUGAUGGCAGCAUAGUCCGUCCACUGUAAAGAUGGUUAUAUUUGUAGUUUGGGCGUAACUAAUAACCUCGAGAAUAAGAUAGCUCGCUUUAUCGAAAUCUGUAGCAAAAUUUAGCGAAUUCUUAAAUGGUUUUUGUUAGUUUACCGUUUGUUUGAAUUAUAUAAAUAACAAAAAAACUUGUAGAAGUUAUAUUAUGAAACUUUUAGGACGCGGGUUCGAGACCCGCCAUCUCCAUAU